UUUCGUUUUGAUGUAGCAA
RNAcentral lists this unclassified non-coding RNA (19 nucleotides) under Mus musculus (house mouse). RNAcentral's name for it is "oocyte_clustered_small_RNA3714". The record is from RNAcentral. Lineage: Eukaryota; Metazoa; Chordata; Mammalia; Rodentia; Muridae.